This 744-nucleotide ribosomal RNA is filed under the name Triticum aestivum (bread wheat). RNAcentral's name for it is "partial small subunit ribosomal RNA". The record is from RNAcentral. Lineage: Eukaryota; Viridiplantae; Streptophyta; Magnoliopsida; Poales; Poaceae.
GUAGAAAUCAAGAAGGAGCAUCAAGUGUUGAUGGUUAACAAGACCACUAGUUUCAAGAAAAAGGGCAAAGGGAAGAAAAAGGGGAACUUCAAGAAGAACGGCAAGCAAGUUGCUGCUCAAGAGAAGAAACCUAAGUCUGGACUUAAGCCUGAAACUGAGUGCUUCUACUGCAAGCAGACUGGUCACUGGAAGCGGAACUGCCCCAAGUAUUUGGCAGAUAAGAAGGAUGGCAAGGUGAACAAAGGUAUAUGUGAUAUACAUGUUAUUGAUGUGUACCUUACUAGAGCUCGCAGUAGCACCUGGGUAUUUGAUACUGGUUCUGUUGCUAAUAUUUGCAACUCGAAACAGGGACUACAGAAUAAGCGGGCACUGGCAAAGGACGAGGUAACGAUGCGCGUGGGAAACGGUUCCAAAGUCGAUGUGAUCGCAGUCGGCACGCUACCUCUACAUCUACCUUCGGGAUUAAUAUUAGACCUAAGUAAUUGUUAUUUGGUGCCAGCGUUGAGCAUGAACAUUAUAUCUGGAUCUUGUUUAAUGCGAGACGGUUAUUCAUUUAAAUCAGAGAAUAAUGGUUGUUCUAUUUAUAUGAGUAAUAUCUUUUAUGGUCAUGCACCCUUGAAGAGUGGUCUAUUUUUAUUGAAUCUCGAUAGUAGUAAUACACAUAUUCAUAAUGUUGAAGCCAAAAGAUGCAGAGUUGAUAAUGAAAGUGCAACUUAUUUGUGGCACUGUCGUUUAGGUCAUAUC